GACGAACGCUGGCGGCGUGCUUAACACAUGCAAGUCGAACGGAAAGGCCCUGCUUUUGUGGGGUGCUCGAGUGGCGAACGGGUGAGUAACACGUGAGUAACCUGCCCUUGACAUUGGGAUAACUUCAGGAAACUGGGGCUAAUACCGGAUAGGAGCUCCUGCUGCAUGGUGGGGGUUGGAAAGUUUCGGCGGUUGGGGAUGGACUCGCGGCUUAUCAGCUUGUUGGUGGGGUAGUGGCUUACCAAGGCUUUGACGGGUAGCCGGCCUGGGAGGGUGACCGGCCAACAUGGGACUGGGGUACGGCCCAGACUCCUACGGGGGGCAGGAGUGGGGAAUAUUGCACAAUGGGCGGAAGCCUGAUGCAGCAACGCCGCGUGCGGGAUGACGGCCCUCGGGUUGGAAACCGCUUUCGCCUGUGACGAAGCGGGAGUGACGGUAAUGGGUAAAGAAGCACCGGCUAACUACGUG
This 468-nucleotide ribosomal RNA is filed under the name uncultured bacterium. RNAcentral's name for it is "partial 16S ribosomal RNA". It matches the Rfam family "Bacterial small subunit ribosomal RNA", at positions 28 to 507 of the family's 1533-position model. The record is from RNAcentral.